RNAcentral lists this ribosomal RNA (205 nucleotides) under uncultured bacterium. Its description in RNAcentral is "partial 16S ribosomal RNA". It matches the Rfam family "Bacterial small subunit ribosomal RNA", at positions 568 to 773 of the family's 1533-position model. The record is from RNAcentral.
CGUCUAGGCGGCCUUUUAAGUCUGAUGUGAAAAUGCGGGGCUCAACUCCGUAUUGCGUUGGAAACUGGAAGGCUAGAGUAUCAGAGAGGUGGGCGGAACUACAAGUGUAGAGGUGAAAUUCGUAGAUAUUUGUAGGAAUGCCGAUGGGGAAGCCAGCUCACUGGAUGAAUACUGACGCUGAAGCGCGAAAGCGUGGGGAGCAAAC